AUGGCGUCCGCCGCUCCACCCGCUUUCCUCCCCCAGCUAGUUCAGCUGGUACAGCCUGUGUCGGUCCUGCCCGACCAGCUCAUGAGGCAGGCGGCGGAGAGAUCGCCGCCACCUCAGAGGGAAGGCUGCAGCGGGGCGAUCGGCCCCACGCGGCAGCCACCUAGCGCGCCGGCGGAGAGCACCGGCGGCGAAGUCAUGGUCCUUAACGACGCUUCUUCCCUGGCCCCGCAGCUGAGGCCGACGCCUCCCGGGGAAGGCGCCGGCGGGAGGAUCCAUCGUCAGCUUGCCGGACCCAAGCGUCCUGGCCCACCGAGAGAAGGCCGCGGUGGCGGCGGCGGCGUGAUCCAUGCCUUUUCUUCUUGA
This 363-nucleotide ribosomal RNA is filed under the name Triticum aestivum (bread wheat). Its description in RNAcentral is "partial small subunit ribosomal RNA". Lineage: Eukaryota; Viridiplantae; Streptophyta; Magnoliopsida; Poales; Poaceae. The record is from RNAcentral.